This 254-nucleotide ribosomal RNA is filed under the name uncultured bacterium. RNAcentral describes it as "partial 16S ribosomal RNA". It matches the Rfam family "Bacterial small subunit ribosomal RNA", at positions 524 to 776 of the family's 1533-position model. The record is from RNAcentral.
CACGUAGGGGGCAAGCGUUGUCCGGAUUUAUUGGGCGUAAAGAGCUCGUAGGCGGCUUAGUAAGUCGGGUGUGAAACCUCCAGGCUCAACCUGGAGACGCCACCCGAUACUGCUGUGGCUAGAGUCCGGUAGGGGAGCGUGGAAUUCCUGGUGUAGCGGUGAAAUGCGCAGAUAUCAGGAGGAACACCAGCAGCGAAGGCGGCGCUCUGGGCCGGUACUGACGCUGAGGAGCGAAAGCGUGGGGAGCAAACAGG